This 73-nucleotide transfer RNA is filed under the name Prosthecobacter dejongeii. It matches the Rfam family "tRNA". From Rfam's summary of the family: Transfer RNA (tRNA) molecules are approximately 80 nucleotides in length. Their secondary structure includes four short double-helical elements and three loops (D, anti-codon, and T loops). Lineage: Bacteria; Pseudomonadati; Verrucomicrobiota; Verrucomicrobiia; Verrucomicrobiales; Verrucomicrobiaceae. RNAcentral also lists the same sequence under 1 other name. The record is from Rfam by way of RNAcentral.
GGCUCAGUAGCUCAGUCGGUAGAGCAGGGGAUUGAAAAUCCCCGUGUCGGCGGUUCGAUUCCGUCCUGAGCCA